Molecule: ribosomal RNA, 411 nt
Filed under: Verrucomicrobiota bacterium
Lineage: Bacteria; Pseudomonadati; Verrucomicrobiota
Description: Verrucomicrobia bacterium partial 16S ribosomal RNA
Rfam family: Bacterial small subunit ribosomal RNA
Source: RNAcentral
UGGGGAAUAUUGCACAAUGGGGGAAACCCUGAUGCAGCGACGCCGCGUGCGGGAUGAAGGCCUUCGGGUUGUAAACCGCUUUUGAUUGGGAGCAAGCUUUCGGGUGAGUGUACCUUUCGAAUAAGCGCCGGCUAACUACGUGCCAGCAGCCGCGGUAAUACGUAGGGCGCAAGCGUUAUCCGGAAUUAUUGGGCGUAAAGAGCUUGUAGGCGGUUCGUCGCGUCUGGUGUGAAAGCCCAUCGCUUAACGGUGGGUUUGCGCCGGGUACGGGCGGGCUAGAGUGCAGUAGGGGAGACUGGAAUUCCCGGUGUAACGGUGGAAUGUGUAGAUAUCGGGAAGAACACCAAUGGCGAAGGCAGGUCUCUGGGCUGUUACUGACGCUGAGAAGCGAAAGCGUGGGGAGCGAACAGG